CCCUUAGAUGUUCUGGGCUGCACGCGCGCUACACUGAAGCGUUCAACGAGUAUUUCACCUUGCCCGGGAGGGUUGGGUAAUCUUUUUAAAACGCUUCGUGAUGGGGAUAGAUUAUUGCAAUUAUUAAUCUUCAACGAGGAAUUCCUAGUAAGCGUGAGUCAUCAGCUCGCGUUGAUUACGUCCCUGCCCUUUGUACACACCGCCCGUCGCUCCUACCGAUUGAAUGGUCCGGUGAAAUCUUCGGAUUGCUGGAUAGGACUUCGCAAGUUGACCUAUCUGCGAGAAGUUGCUUGAACCUUAUCAUUUAGAGGAAGGAGAAGUCGUAACA
RNAcentral lists this ribosomal RNA (328 nucleotides) under uncultured eukaryote. RNAcentral describes it as "partial 18S ribosomal RNA". It matches the Rfam family "Eukaryotic small subunit ribosomal RNA", at positions 1470 to 1796 of the family's 1831-position model. The record is from RNAcentral.